Molecule: non-coding RNA, 265 nt
Filed under: Solanum lycopersicum (tomato)
Lineage: Eukaryota; Viridiplantae; Streptophyta; Magnoliopsida; Solanales; Solanaceae
Description: Bacterial small subunit ribosomal RNA
Rfam family: Bacterial small subunit ribosomal RNA
Source: Rfam by way of RNAcentral
AGAGGCUACAGCCCAACACCAUCACCUAAACCAAGGUGGAUUACGGUAGGGGCAGAGGGAAUUUUUGGUGGAGCGGUGAAAUGCGUAGAGAUCGGAAAGAACACCAACAGCGAAAGCACUCUGCUUGGCUGACACUGACACUGAGAGACGAAAGCUAGGGGAGCGAAUGGGAUUUGAUACCCCAGUAGUCAAUUUGUCACUAUAUUAAGCAAAGAUUACUGUUUCCUGUCCACAAGUGGGUAAUGAAGGUUCUAUCAAGUAUUCC